This 14119-nucleotide long non-coding RNA is filed under the name Phaseolus vulgaris (common bean). Its description in RNAcentral is "long non-coding RNA (PVUL_LNC005052)". Lineage: Eukaryota; Viridiplantae; Streptophyta; Magnoliopsida; Fabales; Fabaceae. The record is from RNAcentral.
UUCCCAUUCCAACCCUAGAGCGUUGCGGCUCUCCUCCACUGCGUGCUCUACCAUCAUUUUCCACCUCCGCAAUGUGUCGCCUCCUCCUGGUCCACCACAACUUGUGUCGUCUUUCACGAUCUUCUCAAACUAGGCUCUUCCUUCUCCUACGCGGACGUCUCGGGUCUUCCUCCUCUGUGUUCGUGACGACUUCUCUUCUGUUUCACGGUGGUCUGGGCUCCUUCGCUUCUUCCUCCUACCAUCAUUGUGUCUAGUGGUUGUUGUCUCCAAUGGGGUUCUUCCCCAAAUCAUUUGUGUCGUACUCCUCCUCCCAUCUUAUCCUCACAAGUGUGCACCAACCAGUGAAUGAUUUUGCUUCUUCCCACAGUUUGUGCUCUGUUCGUUCAUUUUUUCUUUUCAUUUUCUUAAUUUGAACACAAUAUUCCAGUUACUAGGAUUGAGUUUUGGGAUUGAAAGAUUGAACUUAAACAUGUAUCUUGGUGGAGCUGAAUUCCAUAUUUGAACUUUGUAGAAGGUGAGUUUAAUCUAUUUAUUUGGUAUUUUCAUUUUGUUGUUGACUUUUGAAAUUUAUGGUGGGAGUGGUCAAAGCAUUAUCUCUAAUUGUUUAUUUUAGUAGGAUUUAGAAUGAAUAUCUAUGACUAACUGGUUCAGUUAUCCAUUUAGUUGUUUUUACAUUUGUCACUACCUUUUAAUGUGUUCGCCAGUUGUUAGGGUUGACUCCCUUUUGGUGCCAUUGGGCAUGUUUUUAUAUGGGCCUAGUUAUCUAUUUUGGGCUUUAAAUUAAGUAGGUCCAAAAAGACAUGUUUAAGUGCUCGGGUCCGGUACAUAGCCUCCCACCCUCGAACCGAGAAGGACGAGGCGAAGAGGCUUACCUAUGCCAGUUUUGAAAAGACAUUUGGUUUUGAGGGUGGUUGGUUCAAAAAUUUUGAAGUGUCACCUGAUGGGACGGUUUCGUCCCACUAAUUAUAGUACGUACAUGUGUUAUGCCAUCAACGGUUGAGAAACACUGUCGUUUUAACUUUCCCUUUGAAAAGAUUAAAAACUUGUUUCUUCCUCAUUUUACUUGUUACGCUUGCAUAGAAUUAUCAAAGAAAAGAAAACUUUCUCUUGCCUUCAGAGUGCCACCUUGCUCCACUGCAAACCAUCAAAAAUCAGGUAUGUUUCAUCAUACAUAUCUCCUUUUGGGCAAUGGCUUUGAUUUCGUUUGGACAAUACUCUUCAUUAUGAUUCAAUUGGUUUGUUAUAUAUAUAUAUAUAUAUAUAUUUAUUUUUAUUUUUUUUUCUAAACUAUGCUUCGUACUUUAUUGUUGUGUAUGUUUUAGUUGCUUUUAAAGAUGGAUUAUGCCUCUACUUACCCUUAGGCCAAAAGAGAACUUCUAAACGAAACCUCUAUUUAUACCACUCGUUUAAAGAUUAGAGAGUUAAGGGAGUUGGGGGGUUUAAGUAAAAAAGACGAAAACUUAGUGAAGGUAGUAGUAUGUAGAGAGGACGGACCGGUGUGUUGUGAUGAGACAUCAGACCCUGAUGGGCCUUUUGUUUCUUUUAUACCACCUUUUUCACCAAAGUCAUGUUGUGUCAUCCUCUCUCAGCUUUUUAAAAAGAGUUGUUGACCGAGCUUAACACGGCUACUGCCCAGCUGCAUCCGAACAGCUGGGCAUUAAUCCGAGAUUUUGUUAUUUUGUGCACCCAUCUCGGAAUCUUGUCGACUGUGGAAGUAUUCUUUUAUUUUAUUUUUUAGUUUAAACACUCUGGUGUACAACUUUGGGCUUCUUUAAAUGGUGUUCCUAGAAGAGGUCUACUCACUCUCUUCCAAUCGUCUUACAAAAACUUUAAAGGCCGAUUUAUAAAAGUUCGUGCCUCGGUCAGUGACCCAUCUUUGUUAGAUGGUUUUCCCUUGUAUUAGUCGCCCAACCCUUGCUUCUAGUGUGUUCGACGUCUCGAAAACUUGUCCCAAGGGAGCGGCGUAUUUGCGAAUUCCUGGAGAGCCUCAAAUUUUUUUUUUGACACAUAGAUGCUUUUGACAAGAGAAUACCUAUUGGGUUCUCUCAAAGCUUACAUUGGUAUACACCCUUUCUAGCUUAAGCUUUUCAAAGAUGUUUAGAUUUUUAAGCCUUUUUGUUUGUUUUGUGGAGAACAUGCUUUCCUCGAUCAACAAGACCGAGUUGGCCGAACGUGCGAGGCGGAUGAGGGCGACCAAGGUUAAUUUAGUAACGAAUGAGAGUGCCCCAACUGGCGUCGUUCACGUUCAUUCCAAGCAGAAUGAACGUACUACUUCUGCGUUAGUUUUUAAGAGAAGGAGAUCGGAACUACCAAUUCCUUCAGAACACUCAUACUCGAAUGGCCGAGCUACUACCCAAAAUGCUCUGACAAUCCAAGAAUGUGAAGUUGUUGGAAGCUCGAAAGGAAAGAGAUGUGGGAUCCGAGUUUUGACAUCUCAGCCCAUAAUAGAUUAUGCUUCUUACUAGAAGAUGAUGUAGCAAGGCUAAAGAUUUGUGAUGAAGACCGACUCCGCCACGACGUUGAAAGUUUGCUCGGCCAAGCUAUUGCGCUAGUGUCUUUGUCUAACAUCGGGGUGGAAGAGCAUAAGAGAACUAAAGGCAAGAAAACUCAACAGAUUGCCCAACUUCAAAAGGAGAAUGAGCACCUUCAAGCUGAGACCGUAGAGGUCAAUCGCUUACGCUUGGAGUUGGUUACCAAGACUCAGGAAGGGCAUGUUCUGACCAGAGAGAAAACCGAUUUAGCUAAUAAGGUUAAUAUGUUGGAGAAGAAAAUGGGAGACCGGGAAUAGGAGAUGGCUCGUAAAGAAGCCGAACUCUAGAAGAUGAUUGACACACUAAAAGAUUAUGUGACCCAGUCAUAUGUCGUCGGCCGUCGGCUUUGAGGCCGCCAUGGAAUAAACAACCAUUGUUCACCCCUUGGUGGCUUUUUCUGAGUUGAGCCCAUGCAAAGUGGUGGUUGAUGGGAAACUUAUUGGGGAGUCUUAAUUAUUCUUACCAAUUCCCAAAUCUAUGAACAAUGUUUGACCCUUAUAUGUAUAUUUGACAUUUCAAUUCGGUCAAUGUUUAUUGUUCAACAUUUUUGUAUAUUUUUAAACUUAUAACCUCCUUAGUUAUGCCUUUUCAUGUGUCAAUGAUUUUUCCUGGUGUACUACUAGAGCGCCCAGACAAAAUAAGACAAUAGGGAUGUCUUUUAGCAUUGAGUUUCCAUUCUAUGGUCAACCGAGUUGUUUGGUGUCUUCGAGUUGAUUCGUCUUUCGUUGUUUUUCAAUUUGAUAUGCAGAUAGUGAUGUUGCAUAGUUGGUCCGACCUUAGGGUUCGUUCAAACCAAUAUGUGUAAACAAUUUCGUCAAGUAAGUCUGACCCUCAGGGUUCGGCUAGAACGAUGUGUUGAGAAUAACGUUAUCAAGGUAUUCGAACUCAGGGUUCAACUAAAAUAAUAGUAGAAGACGACAUCACCAAGUUAGUCUGAUUUUAGGGUUCAGCUAAACGAUGUGUAGAGAAUAAUGUUACCCGAUUAGUCUGACCUUAGGGUUCGACUAAAACGAUAUGUAGAAGACAAGAUCACUGAGUUAGUCCGACCUUAAGGUUCGGCUAAACGAGGUAAGAGGCUAACUGUGGAUCUUUUGCUUGCUAUUCACCGGAUACAUGCCCUGUUAUGAGCAUUGAAUCGUUCUUUGCUAGAAAAUAGUGAGCUCCCAAUUCCUUUGCCAACAACAUUCCCGCUAUUAGGGCCUCGUAAUCAGCCUUGUUAUUGUUUGCUUUAAAUGCGAAUUUGAGGGAAUUCUCGAUUAGGAUGCCAUUCGAUCGUUCUAGGAUGAUGCCGACUCUGCUCCCUUGCAAAUUGGAGGACCCAUCGACAGAGAGGAUCCAUAGGAAGUCGUUGGAAUCACCUUUAGGGCCUCGUAUUCAGCCUUGUUAUUGGUUUUCUGGAAUCAAACAUAAAACAGUUUUUUAUUGGUUGAACAAAAUUUUCAAUUGAUUGAUUCUUCAUAACUUUUCACUCUACCUUCAAUACUUGUGAAAAUAUUUCAUAAACAAUUCAUCUCCCCUCUUGUUUAGCUCUCUAAUUCUAACACUUUAGUGUUGCUUAGCUCAAAACUGCAUUAGCGUACAUUCUAAGGUAUUUUGUACACAAGUGGCCCCUCUCUAAGCCAUAUAUCCUCCCAGAACUUUAUCCUAUUUUUAGAUUCUACUCUCCAAGCCACACUUUCCUCAAACUAGCUCUUUUCUUCUCCAGCUCUAGAUAGAUCAUGUAGGUAUCUCCAUCAUCAUGACUUCCCCUUUGUACUCUUUGUAUAAUUCAAUUUCCUCCAUGACCCAUACUUUGACUCUACGAUAUUUUUAAAUAAUCCCUUGCUUUCUAUUCCUAAUCUCCAUUUCCAUUUUUCUACUAAGGCUACAUUAAACAACAUCCUCUAGGUGUUGGUUUUUUUGUGUUUUGAUAGAGACACGUGUCUCUCUUGAUUUCUUGCAUACGGGUUGGAGCAUCCCUUAAAUGCUCCAAUUAAUAUAUUUAUUCUUUUCUGAUAAAAAAAACUUGAUGUCUUUAAUCUCCAAUCCUUCCUUAUCCAUAGAUUUACAUAUGUAUGCCCAUUUAACCCAGUUAUCUUUUGUCCUAACAUCCCCAACCCUAUUAAAUUUUCCUUUGUAUUUUCUUGAUCACUUCACAAAUACAAGAUGGUGUCGUAAAGAGAACAUGUAUUAUAUGGGUAGGGUUAUAAAGAUAGAUUUCACGAGACACACUUGAUGUACAAAGGACAAGACCCUACCUUUCCAUCUUGUUAAUUUGUUCUUGCUUUUAUUCUAGAUGGAUUGCCAGUAUUGUUGUUUCCUUGGAUUCCCCAACACUCAUACCUAAAUAGUUAAACAAUUAGUGGCAUUAACAACAAUUCAAAAAAAUUUAGAACCUCUUCAGUUCAUCCUCCCCAAUGUUAAACCUUCAAUCAUUUUUUUACAAAAGUUAACUAUAAUAUUGAAUGAAAGCUCAAAGCAUCUAAGCAUCUAAGUAUGCUUUUAGCUACAAAUAUAUUUUGAAUUUUUAGUUUGCAUAAAAACAAUGUAUCAUUUGAAAACUAAAACAUAUUAACCUUUAUAUCUAUGUUCCCCACCAUAACUCAUUCUAACAUAUAUUUUUUAAUUUCUUGUCUCACAACUCUAGCUAGAUCUUUUGCCACUAUCAGAAAUAAGAAAAGGGCCAACAAGCCACUUUGUUGGUUUAAAAUCCUAGGUUUGAUUAACAUUAACCAAAAUAGAUAGUGGAUGACUCCAUAUAUCAUCUAUUUCCUUUAGUGCAAAAACCUAGCCUCCAACAUAUAAUAGAAAAACUCACAUUUAACCAAAUCAUAGGUUUUUUCAUCGUCCACUUUAACUAAUAAACAUUUCUUUCUUUUGCAUCUCACCUCCUAUACAAGCUUAUUGAGAACUAAAACACUAUCUAAUAGUCCUCUACCUUUAAUGAAUGUAGAUUUUGUAAUAUAAAUUAUGUUAGAUUUCAAUGUAGUUGUAUAAUACUUUGACUAUUAUCUUAUAUAUAUAGUCCACUAUCUAUAUUUAUUCCUUUAAUCUUAUUCCUGAUUUUUCUUCGAUUAAUGGUUGAAUGGAAAUAUCUAGUAUUAGAAUCACCUUUUUCUAAUCAUUUGACCCUUGAUUUUUGCUUCAUUAACACUUCUUGCCUAUAAUUCACCACUCUAAGUUCAUUCCAUAAAUUAACUACAUUCCUUUAUUUAUUUCUUCUUUGUUGAUUCCUCAAUAAUUUACCUACAAUAUAUUUACUUAAACAUAUAUGAACAACUAAUUUAAUUAUUUUUUUUAUUUCAUUAAUUAACAUAUUUGAAUAGUUAUAAAUUAGUCAUUUUUUUGUCAAUAAAGAAUAAUGAAUUAAAAUUAGAGCAUUUAAGGGAUGUUCCAACCUUAUUACAAAAAUUGUUGGGUUAUAUGUCAUUAUAGCCCAUAUAUCACCCUAUAGGCAUUAGUCCCACAAAAGUGACACGUUACUGCACUAAUAAGAUAUUGUAUAGCUUUAAACCUCCCAACAACUUUCUAAUCUCUCCCUCUAUUUCUAUUAUAGAUUAAAUACAACUAUAUAAAGACAAUAUAAGUGAGGCGGGUAUUAUUUAUCUUAUAACAUAGUUGAACUAGUUCAGAGUUGUGUUGGCACAACUUUUGUCAAAAUACUGGCCCUCACGAAAAAGAUGUUAGAUUACCAAUAAAGAGUGGUGUUGCUUUUAUAGUUUCCACCGUGAUAAAUUUCAGGAGCAUGGAUGAUAGGGAUGUUUGCAUGUUUCUCUACUUAAGCUUCCUCCCUUGAUUUAACAAUUACAUUUGGUCUUGCUCGUCACCAUCUAGUUUUCUUUAACACAAAUUCCUUCAUUGUACUCUUCUUACUGUAUAUAAAUUUAGCUUUCCUUGUUUUCAUUUAGCUAUAUUUAUUUCAGAAUCCUUUUUCCAUAGUACUUGCAUAGAGAGCACUUCCACCACUACAAGAAAAACGUUGAUUAGCUACCAAGGAUUUGCGUUGGCCAAAAGAUGGACGCAAAUAGCGUCGGCCAAACCCACAAUAAGUGGACACAAAAGAAGUAGCGUGGGUCAAGCCCACUCUAAACUGAUGUUAAUAAAAAAAUUGAUAAAAAUAACACGUGUCGGCUUGUGCGACAUAAGAAAUUAAAUCUUUUAAUAUUUGUGUAUAGUUAGCAUCGACUUUAUCAUUGGCUUGGCUGACACAAAAUUGAUCUGAUAUUAGCGUCGGCUUGGCCAACGCAAAAUUGAUAUUAUAUCCCGCACUUGCCAUUUCCCCCUUGUGCAUUUCAUUUUCCCCAAAUUCCCAACCCUGGCACCGCGGUUCUCCUCUGUGUACUUUGUCAUCCACCACUGCCUUCGCAAGUUGCCUCAUCUUGUUCUGUCGGAACCUGCGUUGUCCUACAUGAUUAUCUCGGAUUGAGCUUCUUCUUCAUCUCAGUUCUUCCUCCUUCGUGUUUGCAAUGGCUUAUCUUCUCCUCCACGGUGGUCUUUGCUUCUCCUCCUCUUCCUCUCACCAUUGUGUCUGAUGGUUUUUGGCUCAAGUGAAGCUGAAUUCUAUAUGUGAACUUGGUUGAAGGUGAGUUUAUUGGAUUUAUUUGGUCUUUUUGUUUUCUUGUUGGAUUUUGAAAUUUAUGUUCGAUUGGUAGCUUAUUUGAACAAACAUGAACUUAUUAAAUAACUCUUUGUUCAAAUUUAAUUUGCAAUUACAAUUUUAUGCUUAAUUUGAAUUAAGUUCUCAUUUAAAAUUGAUAUUUGAAUUGAUAUCUUAAUGAUUUAGGAAUCAAGUUGAGAAUUUUUUAGCUUUCUAUUCAUGCUAGAUUUUUUCCCUAUAUGCUUAUUUAUGUGUUGGCGUAGCCGAUGCAAAAGCUCAUGCCAUUGUGUCCCAUUUUAAAGUCAACACAAACACAUUUUUCUUUCAUGAUUUAGCAUCCGUUAGGUAGUCGACGCAUAGCCAACAUUUAUGCGUCAUUUUUCGUCUCUUAGCAUCUGUUAAUGGCUAACGUUAAUUUACAUUUUGUUGUAGUGUACCUUCGUGCAACAUAUGUCAAAAUUCAAAGGUUCAUACAGAGAAUAAGAUAGUUAUCAACCUUUAGCAAUACACUCCCUAAAUGAAUAACGCUAGUACCAACCAAAUCACUCUCAUCUCAAUUUUGAACCAUUUUAGUUAGAAUACUGUAUUUUAAUACACCAGAGGCUACAUAAAAUAAUAUUACAGUGCUUUUAAACAUUGCAUUAUGCUAAGGCACAAAUCUGAAUAUGAAAAAGGUACUGCCUUCAUGUUUAUGUUUAAUUUAUGAUGAAUCAUUUUGUUGUGCGCAUUAUAUUUCCUUUGCAUCCAUUUUCCUUGCCUAAAUAUGACCGAAUUCCAAUGAUUCCAUAUGCCCCAUAAAAUUGCUAUCCAUAGACUCUUUCAAAUUAUGUUUUGUUUUUCAUUUUGGUUCAUUGGGUAAAAGUGUUGAAAAUCAUUCUUAAGCUUAUUAUGUUUCAUUGAGCUAACCCCAUCCACCUAUGACAUUUGUCCCAUAUUAUUUUGCAGGUUGGGAUCAAGUUGGAGGUUGUCUCAUAUUUUUCCUUACAUGAUGCACAUAAACAUAUUAUCCAGCUGCAUCCCUCUUUGCACUAAAUUAACCCUUGCUGGAAUCUUGUCCAAAAUCACUCUCCACCCAAAGCGAAGCGCACUAGGGAGAACCUUCCAGCUCCAUAAGAACUUAAAUAAACAAUUACUUUUACCAAGGAAAUUGCAUAGCAACAUGUCAUAAGUAGACCUCACUGAAUAUAUAUGUACCGACCCGUCCUCGGGCGUUAGACCAAAGUCAAACACUUGGUAGGACCCAUCAGGGGCGCCAUGAGGUGAGAAAGGGAGUCGACCAGGCCUCGAGCGUUGACCAACCUCGGGUGUUGACCGACCUCAGGCGUUGGCUGGGUUCGGACCAAGAAGUGUUUGUUGUUGAACCAAGUGGUGUUCAAGCUUUGAAGAAUCCAAAUCCUUUGAAGGAUGUUGAAGCCUCUGCUGUGCUUGGUGUUGCUGUGCUGGUUUAGCUUAGUUCUGGGGUAGUUUAUAUGUUAUAAUCCACCCUUUGAUUAAAUCUAAAGCAUUAGCAAUCUCAAUCUUUGUGAAAGUAAAAUGUUUUCAAACUAAGUUAAAACAACCGAUUGUUUUGUCAAAACAACCGAUUGUUUGUACUUAGGUGUUUUGAGAAAAAGAUUGAAAAUUGUUUUUAAAAUGGUUGAACUGUUAAGUACCAAAACAACCGAUUGAUUCGAGGAAACAACCGAUUGUUUGUUUUGGGACCAUAACAGAAAAACUGUUUUCUGUUUGACUGAGCUUUAAAUGUUUUAACUGCAUACGCUCUAGUCAUUAAAUGCUUUGACCAAUCUUUUAAAGCAAUUCAAGAGUUUGUUAAGAUUUGAUAACAAACUACAUCUUUGAAUAUAUUCAAAAAAACAUAUUUGACAAUUGAUCUUUGACAAGUUUUUGCUAAGAGUUUUUGAGUUUUUCAAAGAGCUAAGAUUGCUAAGAGUGUGUGAUUGAUCAAAGUUGUGGAAUAGGAUUAUGCUUGUAUUGAUUUCAGAUUAUCUUCUGUAACAAGUGUAAUCCUUGUAUUCUCUGUAAAGACAAGUUUCGUUUCUGUGUUUGCUAAGAUUGGUUGUGUGUCCUUGAGGGGAUCAAGAUCAACAAUCUUGGUGUAGAUGUGUUGACCAAGGAGAGUGUGUUUCUUGAGGUGUUCAAGGUCAUUCUCGUGGUUGUUGUGUAAGUGAUCAAGGUGUGGUUGCUUAGUGGAUUUCCUCAGGGUUUCUGAGAAGACUGGAUGUAGCUUUGGAUUUGGAGUGAACCAGUAUAAACAACUGUAUACAAUCUCUCUAUCUCUAACUCUUUAAAUUCAGUUUUAUUUGUUGUUUGCUGGUAUAAACAACCGAUUGUUUCUGUGAAACAACCGAUUGUUUUUCUGGUACUGCAGCUUUUGCUUGUUGUUUUGGCGAACUGAAUUUCUGAAUCAAUUGUUUCCUGAGAUAAAUUCAUUCUUGUUUUAAAAGUUUGCGAAAAUUCUCUUUAAACAAUUCACCCCCCUCUAGUUUAAAGCCAUCCAUUCUAACAAUUGGCAUCAAGAGCUUGGUUCUUGAAAGUUAUUCAAGUUGAUCAAAAAUCUUUUUUCUAUGGCUGGAAAACUAUCUUUUGAGGCAGGUGCUUCAAUCUACAAACCACCUUUAUUCUGUGGAUUGAAUUAUUAAGGUUUUGGGAAGCAAGAAUGAAAAUCUUUAUUGAAUCUAUUGAUAAAAGAAUUUGNNNNNNNNNNNNNNNNNNNNNNNNNNNNNNNNNNNNNNNNNNNNNNNNNNNNNNNNNNNNNNNNNNNNNNNNNNNNNNNNNNNNNNNNNNNNNNNNNNNNGAGAAUGGUCCUUACAUUCCAAAGUUCAAAAAGGAUAAUUCUUUCAUUGCAAAACCUUUGUCCAAAUGGACAAAUGAUGAAUGUAAGAUGACCCAACUUGAUUGGUCUGCCCAAAACAUUAUAGCUUUUGCACUAGAUACUAAUGAAUUUUUCAGGAUAUCAAAGUGCAAAACUGCCAAGGAUAUGUGGGAGACUCUCAAGGCUGCUCAUGAACCAAAGGAAGCAAUGACAAAGAGUCAAGCAAGAAGGAAAAGAAGGCAAAAUAAGAAAAGCCUCAAUCUUUGCUUCAUGGCCAGAAGGGAGGAUGACUCAAGUAGUGUAAGUUCAUCAAACUCCUCAAACUCUGAAAAUUAUGGUCAAUUGCUUCAAGCCUUUCGAGAAACACAUGAAGAAGCCAACCGAUUGGCUCUCUUGAACAAUCGGUUAAAAGAAAAGAACAGCUGGCUUGAAAACAGAGUAAAGGCACUGGAAGAGGAUUUAGAAAAUUCAAAAACAGAUUUUGAAAAUCUGGAAAUCAUUUACAAAAACUCCUCUUGCAAGUGUGAUACUCUAGUUUGUGAAAAUUGUGAAAAUCUUGAAAAGAAUGUCCACUAUCUUGUUAAAACAGUGGAUAAGCUUUCUAAAGGCCAAUCCAACUUUGAGAGAGUUCUAGCAUCUCAAAACUGUGUUUUUGGAAAAUCUGGAUUGGGUUUUAAUCCACAAAACAAACAAGAUAGAUUUUCAAAAUCUUUUUCGAAAAUUCCAGAAAAACAAUCGAUUGGACCAUCGAAAGAACCGAUUGUUACAUGCUUCUAUUGCAUGAAAAGAGGUUAUUCUGUGAGGUUCUAUAAAAUCAGAAAACAUGUUGUUCCUAAAGGACUUAUGAAGUGGAUUCCUGAGGGAAAUAAAGCUUUAAUUGAUAAGUAUAAACCAGAUGGAUCCAUAUUCAUAAGGGGACCAAAUCUUUGUACUUGAAAAUUUCUUUUGUAGGAAAUCUUGGAGGAGAGCAAGCAACUAUGGUACUUGGAUAGUGGAUGCUCCAAGCAUAUGACAGGGGACAAAUCAAAGUUCUUGAGUAUCUCCUUCAAGCAAGAGAGACAUGUCACUUAUGGAGACAACAACAAAGGAAGAAUUCUCGGGAGAGGAUCCAUAGGAGAUGAGAACAUCUUGGUAAUCCAUGAUGUACUUUUUGUUGAAGGCCUAAAGCAUAAUAUGCUGAGCAUUAGCCAACUAUGUGACAAGGGGUAUCAAGUGAUGUUCAAGACAAACACAUGUGAAAUCUGUCUACCCAACACCAAAGAGGUAAUGUUGGUAGGUAAGAGAGUUAAUAAUGUGUAUCUUCUAGAUAUCUCUUCACCAUGUUCAAUUGGAUGUCUUCUAUCCAAGCAAGAUGAAUCUUGGCUUUGGCUUAGAAGAAUUGUUCAUAUUCACAUGAAUCAUUUGAACAAGCUAAUUUCAGAGGAUCUUGUGAUUGGGCUGCCAAAACUCAAGUUUGAGAGGGAUCACAUUUGUGAAGCAUGCCAAAAAGGGAAACAAGUUGAUGGAGAUCAAGCUCAAGUGGACAUGGAGGCCAAUCAACAAGAUCAAGAAGAGGUAGAGGCACAAAUAGAAGACGCCCAUGGAGGUCAAAGCCCACCUCAAAGGGUUACAAGAAGCAUGUUCAAAGCUUUAGGAGCUAGGGGACAAUUAUUUUCUCUUUUUGUAAUUUCUUUGGUUGAAGGUGCUUAGAGGGAAACAUUAGAAACCUCUAUUGUUAUAGCAUCUUUUAGGCUUUAGUUAGGAGCUUUAGGAGGGGGGGUGCGUUAGUAGAUAGGUGUAGGAGUAGAAUAGGAGGUGCCAAAGUGAAGGAAGAGGUCACACCUUCCUCAUGCAUUGUUUUUGGCGUCGAUUCUAGAAGCUCUUUAGGAGGGAGUUUUUGAAUUUGUGUAGCUUGCAUUUCAGCACCUUAGGCUAUAAAUAGAGGUGCUCCCUUUGUAUUUUUCAGAUUGGAAUUUAGAGUAAAGAAACUAUACUCAAAUUUUGAGUGAGCAUUGGAGAGCUUUUGAGCCUUCUUCUCUAGUCUUAUCUUGAUGGAUCCAUGGUGUCCUCAAGUGGCGGCAGCACACUAAUCUUGGAGCAGCCAUCCUCCAAGUGGCGUGAUCAAUCACCUACUCUUCCAUCUCCAUAAGUGUUCUUUUCUCUAGCUUUGUUUCUUCUUCAUUUUCAUGUCUAGCGUAAUUGUUCUUGCCUUUUUUGGUUCGGCUAUUUCCAUUUUCCAGCAAGUUAUUCUUCCUUUGUUUGAUUUGGUUCGGUGUGUUUAAUUUCCAACACUUAUAAUUCAGUUUGCUUAUCUUUUGUUCCAUUCUCUUCGGUUCAAUUUGAUCAUAAUUGGAACUUCCAUAUGAGUUUUCGAUUUGGUGCUAGUUUUGGUGAGUUCUUGACUUAGAACAUUGAUCCAAUUCUAAGAAAAGUGCCUAACUAUUGUCCAAUUCAAGUUAAUUCCUAAAAAGAUCAAGAAUCUUUCUCUUCUAUGCUAUUGGAAUCACAUCACAAGUGAAAAGUUCUUUCAAAAUUAAAAAUGUUGUUUCAUCUUUGAGACCUCUUGAACUUCUUCACAUGGGUCUCUUUGGACCCUCAAGAACUAUGAGUCUUGGUGGAAAUUAUUAUGCUCUUGUUAUUGUUGAUGACUUUUCUAGGUACACUUGGACUCUUUUCUUGGAAUCAAAGAGUGAUGCCUUUGCUGCAUUCAAAAAGCUAGCAAGAAGACUACAAAACACAAAGAACAACAACAUAGGUUCUAUAAGGAGUGAUCAGGGAGGAGAAUUUCAGAAUGAAAAGUUUAGCAAAUUCUGUGAGAAGUUGGGAAUUAUGCACAAUUUCUCUGCUCCAAGAACACCACAGCAAAAUGGAGUGGUAGAAAGGAAGAACAUGUCUCUUGAAGAGCUUGCAAGGACAAUGCUUAGUGAAUCAUCACUUCCUAAGUAUUUUUGGGCAGAUGCAGUGAGCACCUCUUGUUAUGUGAUGAAUAGGGUGCUUAUAAGGCCCAUUUUGAAGAAAACUCCAUAUGAACUCUUCAAUGGAAGGAAGCCUAACAUCAGUCACCUCAAAGUCUUUGGCUGCAGCUGUUUCGUUCUCAACAAUGGAAAAGAAAACUUGGGAAAGUUUGAUGAGAAAACAGACCGUGGUAUCUUCAUUGGUUAUUCACUCACAAGUCAUGCAUAUAGAGUAUACAACAAGAGGUUGAUGACUGUAGAAGAAUCAGUUCACGUUGUCUUUGAUGAGGUAGAUCGCAGAGUCAAUCAAAUCCCAAAGACCAGUGCUGAAGAAGAUGAACAGAGCAUCAGUUUGGAGAAGCUGGAAAUCUGUGCAGAAAAACAACUGGUUGAUUCGCAGAACCAACCGAUUGAAAUUCUGCAACUGAGUGAAAGGAGUGGAGGAUUCCUAGAGAUCUGUCAGUGGAUAACAUCAUAGGGCAGAUAAAGGAAGGUGUCUCCACACGUAGCUCCAUCUCAAACUUCUGCAGGCACACAACUUUUGUCUCUCAAAUUGAACCAAAGUCAAUAGAGGAAGCUCUCAAGGAUGAGAAGUGGGUUGAAGCUAUGCAUGAAAGCAAUCUCAAUCUUUGUGAAAGUAAAAUGUUUUCAAACUAAGUUAAAACAACCGAUUGUUUUGUCGAAACAACCGAUUGUUUGUACUUAGGUGUUUUGAGAAAAAGAUUGAAAACUGUUUUUAAAAUGGUUGAAUUGUUAAGUACCAAAACAACCGAUUGAUUCGAGGAAACAACCGAUUGUUUGUUUUGGGACCAUAACAGAAAAACUGUUUUCUGUUUGACUGAGCUUUAAAUGUUUUAACUGCUUACGCUCCAGUCAUUAAAUGCUUUGGCCAAUCUUUUAAUGCAAUUUAAGAGUUUGUUAAGAUUUGAUAACAAACUACAUCUUUGAAUAUAUUCAAAAAAACAUAUUUGACAAUUGAUCUUUGACAAGCUUUUGCUAAGAGUUUUUGAGUUUUUCAAAGAGCUAAGAUUGCUAAGAGUGUGUGAUUGAUCAAAGUUGUGGAAUAGGAUUAUGCUUGUAUUGAUUUCAGAUUAUCUUAUGUAACAAGUGUAAUCCUUGUAUUCUCUGUAAAGACAAGUUUCGUUUCUGUGUUUGCUAAGAUUGGUUGUGUGUCCUUGAGGGGAUCAAGAUUGAAAGUGCGUUUCUUGAGGUGUUCAAGGUCAUUCUCGUGGUUGUUGUGUAAGUGAUCAAGGUGUGGUUGCUUAGU